GAAUAUCGUUUGACCGACGAUGAUUAUUUAACUCUAAAAAAGAAAGAUGACCAUCGAGUUGGAUGCAUCUUGGCUUGCAUAAUGACUAAAAAUAAAAUGAUGAUCAAUGGCUCGUUUGUCGUUGAAAAAAUGCAAAAUCAAGUAUGGAUAGCUAAAAAAUACAACGUCA
Molecule: long non-coding RNA, 169 nt
Organism: Copidosoma floridanum
Lineage: Eukaryota; Metazoa; Arthropoda; Insecta; Hymenoptera; Encyrtidae
Source: RefSeq, a predicted model, not a curated record